Molecule: ribosomal RNA, 536 nt
Filed under: Kodamaea ohmeri
Lineage: Eukaryota; Fungi; Ascomycota; Pichiomycetes; Serinales; Debaryomycetaceae
Also listed under: 1 other name
Description: eukaryotic LSU rRNA
Rfam family: Eukaryotic large subunit ribosomal RNA
Source: RNAcentral
GCAUAUCAAUAAGCGGAGGAAAAGAAACCAACAGGGAUUGCCUCAGUAACGGCGAGUGAAGCGGCAAAAGCUCAAAUUUGAAAUCCCCCCGGGGAGUUGUAAUUUGAAGAUUGCGUCUUGGAGGCGACCGUGUCUAUGUUCCUUGGAACAGGACGUCACAGAGGGUGAGAAUCCCGUGCGGCACGGCCCCCGGCUCCUUAUAAGGCGCUCUCGACGAGUCGAGUUGUUUGGGAAUGCAGCUCAAAGUGGGUGGUAAAUUCCAUCUAAAGCUAAAUACAGGCGAGAGACCGAUAGCGAACAAGUACAGUGAUGGAAAGAUGAAAAGCACUUUGAAAAGAGAGUGAAACAGCACGUGAAAUUGUUGAAAGGGAAGGGCAUGCCGUCAGAUUGUCAGUGUGGGUAAGAAGCGGGGUACAAAGACUGUGGAACGUGGCCCUCGGGUGUUAUAGCCGCAGUUCAUGCCCCGUCUCUUUCCGAGGCCUGCUUUGAGGACACCGACGUAAUGACGGUACGCCGCCCGUCUUGAAACACGGACC